CUCGUAGGUGGCCAACUAAGUCAUACGUGAAAUCCCUCGGCUUAACCGGGGAACUGCGUCUGAUACUGGAUGGCUUGAGUUUGGGAGAGGGAUGCGGAAUUCCAGGUGUAGCGGUGAAAUGCGUAGAUAUCUGGAGGAACACCGGUGGCGAAGGCGGCAUCCUGGACCAAUACUGACACUGAGGAGCGAAAGCCAGGGAGCAAACG
This 206-nucleotide ribosomal RNA is filed under the name uncultured bacterium. Its description in RNAcentral is "partial 16S ribosomal RNA". It matches the Rfam family "Bacterial small subunit ribosomal RNA", at positions 568 to 774 of the family's 1533-position model. The record is from RNAcentral.